This 489-nucleotide ribosomal RNA is filed under the name Limosilactobacillus vaginalis. Its description in RNAcentral is "bacterial SSU rRNA". It matches the Rfam family "Bacterial small subunit ribosomal RNA", at positions 28 to 473 of the family's 1533-position model. Lineage: Bacteria; Bacillati; Bacillota; Bacilli; Lactobacillales; Lactobacillaceae. The record is from RNAcentral.
GAUGAACGCCGGCGGUGUGCCUAAUACAUGCAAGUCGAGCGCACUGGCCCAACUGAUAUGACGUGCUUGCACUGAUUUGACGAUGGAUUACCAGUGAGCGGCGGACGGGUGAGUAACACGUGGGCAACCUGCCCUGGAGCGGGGGAUAACAUCUGGAAACAGGUGCUAAUACCGCAUGACUACUAAAACCACCUGGUUUUAGUAUAAAAGAAGGCUUCAGCUUUCACUCUAGGAUGGGCCCGCGGUGCAUUAGCUAGUUGGUAAGGUAACGGCUUACCAAGGCGAUGAUGCAUAGCCGAGUUGAGAGACUGAUCGGCCACAAUGGAACUGAGACACGGUCCAUACUCCUACGGGAGGCAGCAGUAGGGAAUCUUCCACAAUGGGCGCAAGCCUGAUGGAGCAACACCGCGUGAGUGAAGAAGGGUUUCGGCUCGUAAAGCUCUGUUGUUGAAGAAGAACGUGCGUGAGAGUAACUGUUCACGCAGUGAC